AUAGGCUCGACGUAGAUUUGACGAUCGAGUCGUAGAUUUGGUGAUUCGACGUCGUAGAUUCGGCGUAAAGUCAUAGAUUCGACGAACGAGUCGUAUACUCCCAACGAAAUGUUGGGAUCAAGUCAGGACGUCGAGGCUCGUACUUCUGACACGGGCUGACCUUCGACGAGGAGCCAAACUUUGUAGACUCUGGAGUUUUGAAAUUGUAUUGUAUUCCGAGCA
RNAcentral lists this long non-coding RNA (222 nucleotides) under Elaeis guineensis (African oil palm). RNAcentral's name for it is "long non-coding RNA (EGUI_LNC030858)". The record is from RNAcentral. Lineage: Eukaryota; Viridiplantae; Streptophyta; Magnoliopsida; Arecales; Arecaceae.